RNAcentral lists this ribosomal RNA (1383 nucleotides) under Ligilactobacillus salivarius. Its description in RNAcentral is "bacterial SSU rRNA". It matches the Rfam family "Bacterial small subunit ribosomal RNA", at positions 66 to 1430 of the family's 1533-position model. The record is from RNAcentral. Lineage: Bacteria; Bacillati; Bacillota; Bacilli; Lactobacillales; Lactobacillaceae.
UACACCGAAUGCUUGCAUUCACCGUAAGAAGUUGAGUGGCGGACGGGUGAGUAACACGUGGGUAACCUGCCUAAAAGAAGGGGAUAACACUUGGAAACAGGUGCUAAUACCGUAUAUCUCUAAGGAUCGCAUGAUCCUUAGAUGAAAGAUGGUUCUGCUAUCGCUUUUAGAUGGACCCGCGGCGUAUUAACUAGUUGGUGGGGUAACGGCCUACCAAGGUGAUGAUACGUAGCCGAACUGAGAGGUUGAUCGGCCACAUUGGGACUGAGACACGGCCCAAACUCCUACGGGAGGCAGCAGUAGGGAAUCUUCCACAAUGGACGCAAGUCUGAUGGAGCAACGCCGCGUGAGUGAAGAAGGUCUUCGGAUCGGUAAAACUCUGUUGUUAGAGAAGAACACGAGUGAGAGUAACUGUUCAUUCGAUGACGGUAUCUAACCAGCAAGUCACGGCUAACUACGUGCCAGCAGCCGCGGUAAUACGUAGGUGGCAAGCGUUGUCCGGAUUUAUUGGGCGUAAAGGGAACGCAGGCGGUCUUUUAAGUCUGAUGUGAAAGCCUUCGGCUUAACCGGAGUAGUGCAUUGGAAACUGGAAGACUUGAGUGCAGAAGAGGAGAGUGGAACUCCAUGUGUAGCGGUGAAAUGCGUAGAUAUAUGGAAGAACACCAGUGGCGAAAGCGGCUCUCUGGUCUGUAACUGACGCUGAGGUUCGAAAGCGUGGGUAGCAAACAGGAUUAGAUACCCUGGUAGUCCACGCCGUAAACGAUGAAUGCUAGGUGUUGGAGGGUUUCCGCCCUUCAGUGCCGCAGCUAACGCAAUAAGCAUUCCGCCUGGGGAGUACGACCGCAAGGUUGAAACUCAAAGGAAUUGACGGGGGCCCGCACAAGCGGUGGAGCAUGUGGUUUAAUUCGAAGCAACGCGAAGAACCUUACCAGGUCUUGACAUCCUUUGACCACCUAAGAGAUUAGGCUUUCCCUUCGGGGACAAAGUGACAGGUGGUGCAUGGCUGUCGUCAGCUCCUGUCGUGAGAUGUUGGGUUAAGUCCCGCAACGAGCGCAACCCUUGUUGUCAGUUGCCAGCAUUAAGUUGGGCACUCUGGCGAGACUGCCGGUGACAAACCGGAGGAAGGUGGGGACGACGUCAAGUCAUCAUGCCCCUUAUGACCUGGGCUACACACGUGCUACAAUGGACGGUACAACGAGUCGCAAGACCGCGAGGUUUAGCUAAUCUCUUAAAGCCGUUCUCAGUUCGGAUUGUAGGCUGCAACUCGCCUACAUGAAGUCGGAAUCGCUAGUAAUCGCGAAUCAGCAUGUCGCGGUGAAUACGUUCCCGGGCCUUGUACACACCGCCCGUCACACCAUGAGAGUUUGUAACACCCAAAGCCGG